GAAGAUGAUGAUAUUAGUUGUCGCCCCAGUCUUACAAGCAUCUCUGUAUUUGAUGCUUCAUGGUGAUUGACAUACUCUUUUUCUGAUUC
Quercus robur (English oak) is the source of this 89-nucleotide small nucleolar RNA. RefSeq annotates it as small nucleolar RNA U31b. The transcript has a single exon. NCBI's taxonomy places the organism in Eukaryota, Viridiplantae, Streptophyta, Magnoliopsida, Fagales, Fagaceae. The record is from RefSeq and is a predicted model, not a curated record.